RNAcentral lists this signal recognition particle RNA (302 nucleotides) under Oncorhynchus mykiss (rainbow trout). Its description in RNAcentral is "Metazoan signal recognition particle RNA (ENSOMYG00000075223.1)". It matches the Rfam family "Metazoan signal recognition particle RNA". From Rfam's summary of the family: The signal recognition particle (SRP) is a universally conserved ribonucleoprotein. It is involved in the co-translational targeting of proteins to membranes. The eukaryotic SRP consists of a 300-nucleotide 7S RNA and six proteins: SRPs 72, 68, 54, 19, 14, and 9. Lineage: Eukaryota; Metazoa; Chordata; Actinopteri; Salmoniformes; Salmonidae. The record is from RNAcentral.
UCCCGGUGCGUUGGCAUGUGCCUGUAAUCCAAGUCACUGGGAGGCUGAGGUUGGUGGACCAAGUGAGCUGAGGAGCUCUGGGCUGCAGCACGCUAUGUCGAACGGGUGUCCACGCCAAGUUCGGUAUCGAUAUGGUGUUCCUGGGGGAGCCCGGGACCACCAGGUUGUCUAAGGAGGGGUGAACCGGCCCAGGUCGGAAACGAAGCAGGUCAAAUCCCCCGUGCUGUCCAGUAGUUGGGGGAUAAUACCUGUGAGUAGAUGCUGCAGUGCAGCCUUGGCAAAACAUUGAGACCUAGUCUUUC